CAAGAGACGAACAGUUAGUGCUGAUUUUCAUUUGCAUAAAUUUUCAUAUAUUUUAGUGAAAAUAAUAGCGGGAGCCGAGGAGCGCUCCUGCUCAGUCGAGGCAGAGGAAAGAAAAUCUCAGGGAGCAGCGUGUCGCGGGGAAGGGAGAUAACCAUUUACACGCUCCGUGGGAACAAACUGAAGCAAUUUCCUUCCUUCUUGGACACAAGGAGACCUCACUAACUUUGGUUCCCAUUGCUCCUCAUUCCCCUUGAUGAACCUCUGGGGACUUUAAAGGAUCUGAACCCGAACCGAACAAAGAGACAAAGGCAAGCUCCAUAUUUAAUUCGGUAUAUUAGUUGCAGUCACACUUCAGUGCAAAGAGCGAAUCUGUAAAUCUGGAGCAGAUUUAACUCCCUUAAACCACAGAUCAUCUACAAAAUGUUGAUUUUUCACAAGACAGUUAGCAUGAUGUUUCUUUGCAUUGUCCUCAGCGUGAAAAAUCUGUUUUGUGUUUUUGCAAGUGUGCAAUAAAAACAAGGAAGCAGAAGACAAGCUCUGUGUCUGUUUUGUGCUCCCAGAAGUGCCUUACUUAGUAAGAAGAGGGUUCGUGUCUCUUCUCCUUCCUCUCUGUGUCCUGAUUUACCCUUGUGGCUGGGACAAGCAUCCCUUUGAGGACGCACAAACAGACGGACAGACGGAAAGGGUCUCAACAGUGACCAGCGCCUUUUCAUCCCAGCACCAACCAAACCAAAAGCCAAAACAGGGGAGCAAAAAAUAAAAUAAAAUAAUAAAUUCUGCUUUUCCUUACUGUCAAACUCCUGUAAAUACCUUUUUUUUUUUUUCGUGUGUUUGCAAAUACAAAUGCCAGAAAGCUGACAAGAGCAGCGAGACAGCGGCAGGAACAAAAAAAAAAGAAACCCUACGGAGACAUGGAUAUAAAAAUAUCUCACCCGAAAGAGAAAAAGAGGGAAGAAAAAGCUGGAGUUCACCAGCAGAGAUUUGGCUGGUUUUGUCACAGCAGCGUAAAAAACUUAAAAACAUGUUUCACAGUAGCACAGUGAAGUUAGUUUCUUUAAAAAAAAAACAGAUCAAAAGAUUAGGCUGAAAUGGAAAAAAAAAGUAAGUGUAAAAAAAUAACUAAGUACACUUUAUGUAUUUCACACAGAAGGUGGUGUGGCACUCUUAACACAAUUCCAGUUUGGAAAGACAUUAGCAAUGACAACCGAUUAAACGUGAGAGUUUUGGGGAAAUAGAUUUAAAUUAACCAACUUAUUUUUUUCUUGCGGUGGGAAAAUAGCAGGUGUGAGUUAUCACAAUGCUGAGUUAGAAAUACAUUAGCAAUUAUUCAUGCGUAAAUAACUUUUGAUAGAAAAUUGGGGAGGAAAAGAGUAAGAGCUAUAAUUUCCAAAAAAUUGCAGUUUGUAAUGGA
This is a long non-coding RNA of Cyprinodon tularosa, 1411 nucleotides long. RefSeq lists it as uncharacterized. The record is from RefSeq and is a predicted model, not a curated record. The transcript has 3 exons. NCBI's taxonomy places the organism in Eukaryota, Metazoa, Chordata, Actinopteri, Cyprinodontiformes, Cyprinodontidae.